This 465-nucleotide ribosomal RNA is filed under the name uncultured Aggregatibacter sp. RNAcentral's name for it is "bacterial SSU rRNA". It matches the Rfam family "Bacterial small subunit ribosomal RNA", at positions 338 to 795 of the family's 1533-position model. The record is from RNAcentral. Lineage: Bacteria; Pseudomonadati; Pseudomonadota; Gammaproteobacteria; Pasteurellales; Pasteurellaceae.
CCUACGGGUGGCAGCAGUGGGGAAUAUUGCGCAAUGGGGGCAACCCUGACGCAGUCAUGCCGCGUGAAUGAAGAAGGCCUUCGGGUUGUAAAGUUCUUUCGGUGUUGAGGAAGGCACCUAAUUUAAUAGGUUAGGUGAUUGACGUUAAACACAGAAGAAGCACCGGCUAACUCCGUGCCAGCAGCCGCGGUAAUACGGAGGGUGCGAGCGUUAAUCGGAAUAACUGGGCGUAAAGGGCACGCAGGCGGCUAUUUAAGUGAGGUGUGAAAGCCCCGGGCUUAACCUGGGAAUUGCAUUUCAGACUGGGUAGCUAGAGUACUUUAGGGAGGGGUAGAAUUCCACGUGUAGCGGUGAAAUGCGUAGAGAUGUGGAGGAAUACCGAAGGCGAAGGCAGCCCCUUGGGAAUGUACUGACGCUCAUGUGCGAAAGCGUGGGGAGCAAACAGGAUUAGAUACCCUUGUAGUC